UACGGGGGGGGCAAGCGUUGUUCGGAAUUACUGGGCGUAAAGGGCUCGUAGGCGGCCAACUAAGUCAGACGUGAAAUCCCUCGGCUUAACCUGGGAACUGCAUUUGUGACUGCAUGGCUAGAGUGCGGCAGAGGGGGAUGGAAUUCCGCGUGUAGCAGUGAAAUGCGUAGAUAUGCGGAGGAACACCGAUGGCGAAGGCAAUCCCCUGGGCCUGCACUGACGCUCAUGCACGAAAGCGUGGGGAGCAAACAGG
RNAcentral lists this ribosomal RNA (253 nucleotides) under uncultured bacterium. Its description in RNAcentral is "partial 16S ribosomal RNA". It matches the Rfam family "Bacterial small subunit ribosomal RNA", at positions 524 to 776 of the family's 1533-position model. The record is from RNAcentral.